CACACGGCAUCUUCAGACGCACACGCAAAGAAUACUGGAACACUUUUUUGAUCCGACCUUCGACGACGAAACGGUAGCGUUUUGAAUAUUGGUUUAUGAGCUAAAUUAGACGUGGAAAAUCAAAAAUCCAAAGAAAUCCAAAAUUAGACAUCGGAACGAGUCCAAAUUUUACACACAUGUUGGUGCUAACCUUAAUGUCGUACGAUAAAAAAUUCGGAAAAUGUCGCCAUUAGGGGGCGCCAUAAACGAGGAAAUUGUAUAUCUUCUAAUUGGCCAAAGGAAUGUUCCUCAAACUAUGAGGGAACCAUCAAGGGGCAAACCCGAGUCUAUAUAAAAAUUAUGGUCAAGAAUUAUUAAUGUGGGCGGGAGUUAUUUGGAAAAGGAAAAUUGUCUUUGCAAAAUUUCGCCACAAGAGGGCGCAAAAAAAACGACGAAAUAAAACAUCUAAUCGCCAAUGGAAUGUUCUGAAAACGCGUUUUGGGCUAUAACUCCCACACCGAACCUCCCACAGUCAAAACCUUUAUAUCCACAUGUUGUUCACGGUAGCGUUUUGAAUACUUGCUUCGCGUUCUGCCGGUGAAACGCACAUUUCUUGUCGCGUUGUGCCGGCGAAAUGCACACUUCUUGGACCCCUGCAUAACUGCUUGCAGUUCUAGUUAUUAUUAUACUUACCCCCCUAAAAGUGGUACCACAGCCCAAACCGUAAAUGGUGCCCACACGCCGAUUACAUGACUAGAUCCAGAUCUCUUCGGACUACGCAGACGACAAAAUCCAGACACGCCGGUCCCUAGGUGGCGCUAUACCAAGGAAUACGCGUUUGGGGCUAUAACUCCCACACCGAACCUCCCACAUUCAAAACCUUGUACACACAUAUUCACUGGAGUCUGCUGCAUCUUUUGGCAUAGGCCACGCCCAUUUGCGUCUAGAAUUUUUUUUCGCAAAAUCGCGAAAACCGCAAAACUGUUUUUUCGCUACUCCUCCCACAUUUCUCGACCAAUUGACACAAAACUUUGCACACGGCAAACGGUAGCGUUUUGAAUAUUGGUUUAUUAGCUAAAUUAGACGUGGAAUAUCAAAAAUCCAAAGAAAUCCAAAAUUAGACAUCGGAUCGAGUCCACAUUUUACACACAUGUUGGUGCUAACCUUAAUGUCGUUCGAUAAAAAUUUCGGAAAAUUUCGCCAUUAGGGGGCGCAAUAAACGAGGAAAUUGUAUAUCUUCUACUAAAUUUCGCCGCGAAAACGCCACACUGACUUCUCGCUACUCCUACCACAGUCAAAUCCUUUGUAUCCACAGGUUCAGGGUAGCGUUUUGAACACAUGCUUCGCUUUGUGCCGGCGAAACGCACAUUUCUUGUCGCGUUGUGCCGGCGAAAUGCACACUUCUUGGACCCCUGCAUAACUGCUUGCAGUUCUAGU
RNAcentral lists this long non-coding RNA (1416 nucleotides) under Gadus morhua (Atlantic cod). RNAcentral describes it as "lncRNA (ENSGMOG00000034133.1)". Lineage: Eukaryota; Metazoa; Chordata; Actinopteri; Gadiformes; Gadidae. The record is from RNAcentral.